UUAAUAGAAGCCAAAAUAGAGGCAACUCACUGUUAAUGAGUUUACUGACAAAUAAUCCUAUUAAA
This 65-nucleotide transfer RNA is filed under the name Parasitus wangdunqingi. Its description in RNAcentral is "tRNA-Asn". The record is from RNAcentral. Lineage: Eukaryota; Metazoa; Arthropoda; Arachnida; Mesostigmata; Parasitidae.